This 253-nucleotide ribosomal RNA is filed under the name uncultured bacterium. RNAcentral describes it as "partial 16S ribosomal RNA". It matches the Rfam family "Bacterial small subunit ribosomal RNA", at positions 524 to 776 of the family's 1533-position model. The record is from RNAcentral.
UACGUAGGGCGCAAGCGUUAUCCGGAAUUAUUGGGCGUAAAGAGCUUGUAGGCGGUUUGUCGCGUCUGCUGUGAAAAUCCGGGGCUCAACCCCGGACUUGCAGUGGGUACGGGCAGACUAGAGUGUGGUAGGGGAGACUGGAAUUCCUGGUGUAGCGGUGAAAUGCGCAGAUAUCAGGAGGAACACCGAUGGCGAAGGCAGGUCUCUGGGCCAUUACUGACGCUGAGAAGCGAAAGCAUGGGGAGCGAACAGG